RNAcentral lists this transfer RNA (77 nucleotides) under Rhodococcus xishaensis. RNAcentral's name for it is "Rhodococcus sp. LHW51113 tRNA-Leu". It matches the Rfam family "tRNA". From Rfam's summary of the family: Transfer RNA (tRNA) molecules are approximately 80 nucleotides in length. Lineage: Bacteria; Bacillati; Actinomycetota; Actinomycetes; Mycobacteriales; Nocardiaceae. The record is from RNAcentral.
GCCCUCGUAUCCCAAUUGGCAGAGGAAACGGAUUCAAAACCCGUACAGUGUGAGUUCGAGUCUCACCGAGGGCACAA